Molecule: ribosomal RNA, 503 nt
Filed under: Serratia nematodiphila
Lineage: Bacteria; Pseudomonadati; Pseudomonadota; Gammaproteobacteria; Enterobacterales; Yersiniaceae
Description: bacterial SSU rRNA
Rfam family: Bacterial small subunit ribosomal RNA
Source: RNAcentral
GGGUGACGAGCGGCGGACGGGUGAUAAUGUCUGGGAAACUGCCUGAUGGAGGGGGAUAACUACUGGAAACGGUAGCUAAUACCGCAUAACGUCCCAAGACCGAAGAGGGGGACCUUCGGGCCUCUUGCCAUCAAAUGUGCCCAGAUGGGAUUAGCUAGUAGGUGGGGUAAUGGCUCACCUAGGCGACGAUCCCUAGCUGGUCUGAGAGGAUGACCAGCCACACUGGAACUGAGACACGGUCCAGACUCCUACGGGAGGCAGCAGUGGGGAAUAUUGCACAAUGGGCGCAAGCCUGAUGCAGCCAUGCCGCGUGUGUGAAGAAGGCCUUCGGGUUGUAAAGCACUUUCAGCGAGGAGGAAGGUGGUGAGCUUAAUACGCUCAUCAAUUGACGUUACUCGCAGAAGAAGCACCGGCUAACUCCGUGCCAGCAGCCGCGGUAAUACGGAGGGUGCAAGCGUUAAUCGGAAUUACUGGGCGUAAAGCGCACGCAGGCGGUUUGUUAA